Molecule: RNA transcript, 13600 nt
Organism: Felis catus (domestic cat)
Lineage: Eukaryota; Metazoa; Chordata; Mammalia; Carnivora; Felidae
Gene: ARHGAP28
Gene name: Rho GTPase activating protein 28
Exons: 27
Source: RefSeq, a predicted model, not a curated record
CGCGGGCGGGGCCGGCUUCCCGGGGCGCCCCUGACAGCUGCGGGAGCUAGCCCCUACCUAGGAGCUGGACCGGCCACACCACCCCUCUGGUGACCGGGCCCCGGUGCGCUGGUCCAUGCUGGUCCCCGCCUUUGUUCUCGGGCCGGAGCGGGGACAUGCACGGCUGACGAUGGAAGUGGAGGACUCGGGCGGCGUGGUGUUGACCGCCUAUCACUCGUACGCUCGCUCUCAGCCGCCCAGCUCCGAGCCGCGCUGUGCGCCCAGGGCCGCCGCCAGCCACCCGGGCAGCAGAAAAUCUAUUCCUCGCUGCCGAAGAAUUAACAGAAUGCUCUCCAAUGAGUCCCUACAUUCGCCUGCAUUUAACCGUUCCAACUCACAAGCCUCCAUAGACAGCACCUCCAUGGAGGACUUCUUGCGGGAAAUAGAAAGCAUUAAAGAGAGUAGCAUGAGAGCACAGGAAGAGCAGAUACCAGCUGAGGUCAAGCCUGUGGAUGAAGGAGAACUCGAAGCAGAGUGGUUGCAAGAUGUGGGUUUAUCAACCUUGAUCUCGGGUAAUGAAGAGGAGGAUGGCAAAGCCUUGCUCUCUACGCUGACUCGAACCCAAGCAGCUGCAGUGAAAAAGAGAUACAAUACUUACACUCAAACCAUGAGAAAAAAGAACAAGCAAUCUGUUAGGGAUGUCAGAGACAUCUUUGGAGUCAGCGAAUCUCCUCCAGAUGAUUUUUGUUGUAUCCCAACUCCUCUUUUGGAAAUGAUCCUGGAUGAAGAAGUGAUAUCAGCAUUUCCCUGCAGAAAUGGUCAACUGCCAGGUGAUACCUGUGACAAUCAUACUGCUCAGUUGGAUGGUCCCCAGGAGGAAAAAGAGCUGCCAGGAGUUAUGAAAACAAGUGAUUCCUUGCCAGAUGAUGCUUCUCUCAACAGUACCGCCCUGUCAGAUGGGUCCCCAGAUGAAGAAGGGAGUUUUACAGUUCCCAGGAGUGGCUCUGUGUCUGUACUUGAGACCAUUCCAGCUCUACCAGUUCAUUCCAAUGGAUCUCCAGACCCUGGACAGUCAGUUCAGAAUGCAGUGAGUGAUGAUGUUUAUCUGGAAAAGAACAUUCCACCAGAAACUGAAGAGCUGUCCUUCGAAGUAUCUUAUUCAGAAAUGGUUACAGAGAUUCCAAAAAGAAACAAAUUUAAGAAGUCCGAAUUUAAGAAAGAGGACUUCGCCUUAACUAAAUUUAUUGUCCAGAAAACCAGAUUCGGUCUAACUGAAGCAGGAGACCUGUCUUCUGAAGAUAUGAAGAAGAUCCGCCAUCUGUCUCUGAUUGAACUGACUGCCUUUUUUGAUGCCUUUGGAAUCCAGCUGAAAAGAAACAAAACUGAGAGAGUAAAAGGACGAGACACUGGGAUUUUUGGAGUUCCGCUCACAGUCCUGUUGGACAAUGACCGAAAGAAGGAUCCUGGAGUGAAGGUUCCCCUGGUGUUGCAAAAAUUUUUUGAGAAAGUUGAGGAAUCAGGCCUGGAAUCUGAAGGAAUUUUUCGACUUUCUGGAUGUACCGCCAAAGUCAAGCAAUACCGUGAAGAACUGGAUGCCAAGUUUAAUUCUGAUAAAUUUAAAUGGGACAGAAUGUGCCAUAGAGAAGCUGCAGUAAUGUUGAAAGCAUUUUUCAGAGAACUACCCACCUCUCUCUUCCCCGUGGAAUAUAUACCUGCCUUCAUCACUCUAAUGGAAAGAGGGCCUCCCAUCAAAGUACAGUUUCAAGCUUUACACCUCAUGGUCAUGGCCCUGCCCGAUGCCAACAGGGACACAGCUCAGGCCCUCAUGACAUUCUUCAAUAAAGUGAUUGCCAACGAAUCAAAAAACCGAAUGAGUGUAUGGAACAUUUCUACUGUAAUGGCACCAAACCUUUUCUUCAGUCGAAGCAAACAUUCUGAUUAUGAAGAACUACAGUUAGCAAACACUGCAGCCCACAUCAUCCGCCUAAUGCUUAAAUACCAAAAGAUUCUGUGGAAGGUUCCAUCUUUCCUAAUCAUGCAAGUCAGAAGAAUGAACGAAGCUACAAUGCUGUUAAAGAAGCAGCUCCCAAGUGUCAGAAAGCUGCUGAGGAGGAAGACCAUAGAACGAGAGGUUAUAAGCCCCAAGACUUCAAAGGUACUACAAAAAUCACCCUCUUCAAGAAGAAUGUCUGACGUGCCGGAAGGAGUCAUAAGGGUCCAUGCUCCACUUCUCUCUAAGGUGUCCAUGGCCAUUCAACUCAAUAGUCACACCAAAGCCAAAGACAUACUGGCAAAAUUUCAAUAUGAGAACAGUUAUGGUUCGUCAGAAUGCAUUAAGAUUCAGAACCAACGGUUAUAUGAAAUUGGAGGAAAUAUAGGGCAGCAUUGCUUGGAUCCAGAUGCUUAUAUAUUGGACGUAUAUCAUGUCAAUCCUCAAGCAGAGUGGGUGAUUAAACCCCAACCAAGUUUUUGAAACACCCUCCAGGAUGGCAGCUAUCAUGUAUCACAUGCCAAGAAGAUUCUGCAUGUGGUAGGGAAAAAAACAAGACUACUUUUGACAUGUUUGCUCCAAUAACUCUCUUGGUGUUUCUCAGCCCAAGUGGUGUCUCCCAGCGUUGUCAACAUGAACCAUGGAGGAGGCACUGGUUGGCUGUUUGAGCUGGGGCUUUCUCCUAUGAUUCCUUGAUAAGAGUGAAGGAAAGAUGAUGCGAUCCUUCCAGAAGAAAGGCCAAUCUAGACCACUGGCCAGGCCACAUGGGCAUGUUGAACACUUGGAAUGUGACUAGUCUGAAUGGAGAUGUGUUCCAAAUACACACCAGAUUUUGAAGACGAGCGUGGAGUCCCAAACGGAUGAAAUCAUGCACCUAUAGUCCGUCCUUCCAUGUCCCGCCCUCCUCCUUUGCUGACCGGAAGGGUGUUCACCAAUAUUCACUUUGGACAGCCUGCUCUGCCUGAGGACAGAAUUUGAGAUUCUUCUUCCACUUCCACAAGGUCAGGGUCUGGGCUGCUGGGCAGGAGCAGUGGAAUGACACAGCUUCUGUACUAUCAAAGGCAUUAAAAGGUGUUUUAUCAGCUCUACAUUAGUGGUUAGACCUUUCCCACUCCUUCAGAGUAGAUGAUUGGGAUUUGGUACUAGGCAUGUCUAAUGUUUCCUAACUGCUCUGUUACUGGUGGUAGGGAGAAAAAAAUCCUGAAUAUUAAGCGCCCACCUUGCCAAUUAUAAUCUCUAAUACAAUGGCAUCUACUUUGGCAAUGCUGAUAUCCAGAACGAGGCCAUUCUCUGAGGCGGUAUGAAAAUCCAGCGUUGAUGUUUACAUCCCACUGGACGUUGUAGCUUUUCUUGACUGGCACCUAACAAAGAUAACCCUGAGAUGAAGUAAAUGUAGCUUUUGAAGAAGACACACCCAAUCACUGGGGCUGAGCCAGACUAGAGCAAGAACUGACAUAUCUUUUCUCCUCUAUUGCCAAGUAAGCAUUUGGUACCCAGCAGAGGUUAGCAUUUUUGACAAGUGCCGAUCAUCAAUUCCAGGACAAUAUUAUUCAAAGUGUGGUCUGCAGGGGUGCCUGGGUGGCUCAGUUGGGUAAGCAUCCAAUUCUUGGUUUUUGGCUCUGUUUGUGGGAUUGAGCCCCACAUCGGACUCUGCGCUGACAGCUAGGAGUCUGCUUGGGAUUCUCUCUCUUCCCCUCUCUCUUUGCCCCUUCCCGACCCCCUCGCUCUCUCGCUCUCUCUCUUUCAACAGAUAAAGUUAAAAACAACAACAACAAAGUCCAACACAAUGUAGGCAGAAAGAACAGGAGGAAGCUUUAAGAAAUGUGUAUGUAAUAAUGUGAUAUAUUUCCCCAAAGCCCCAGGACAUGAUGGAUGAACUCAACUCAUCGAAUAGAGUACAGAGCAGUUUGGGUGGAACUUGAGUGGUACAUGCAUGUGACAGGGGCACAGGAGGACCGCCUCACGCUUCAUAUCAUUUUAAGAUUUGUCAGCUAUAAUCCAACAUCGUUGUUAUAAUCAUUUUGACUUUUAAUUACGACUUUUAAUGUAAAUACACACAUAUUUGGUAGCUGUACUAGGCAAGUAAACUUGUCUGACAAAGUGCUAAAACCAUAAUGUGAUUUAUGGAAAAGUACUAAUGAGUCGUGAAUGAAACGGAUCCUUAAGUGACAUUUACUUACCAAACAAAUCCAAAACAAAAAAGAAGUCUUUGAGAAAGAGAGUUUUGAAUCAAGAGGCUGACAGAGCAGAUGUUCCGUAUUAUACACUAUAAGCAUUAAAGCUUUUGGGGGCUUCACAGAAAAUUGCUCCUCAGGUUGCUAAAACUAAAAAUCCACUGAUAAUUACUGGAAGAUUAGCAAAUGAUUGCAUCAGAGAUGCUUGCUUAGAAGCAUUAGGUGAAACACAGGAAAAAAAUGGGGCUCAAGAAUCACUUUCCAAUCACAUGUGUUCAGAAACCGGCUGUUAAGAAUUAAGACCAACCAUAAAAUACAUAAUGUUGCCUGGUUUUCACUGCAACUCGGCAGCCACACAGAUCUUGCUAAAAUGAAUUAAUUUGAACACAAUAGUAAAAUGGUAGGAUUCUUCCCGCCCCUCUCCCCACCCCCACCCAGCUUUAUUGCUAAAAGCAACCAACUCUGUACUGAAGAAAACCAUGAAGGAUUACAUUGUCAACAAAUGUGCUUGGAGUUUAAGUUUUGAGUAGGAACGUGCUCUGAUGGGACCCCUGCAAUGAGAGAAAAGCACUUUGUAAGAGUUACCCAGAUGGAGAGCUUGCAACUGACCAUAAUCAGUCUCGAACUCCCUUCAUGGAGAAACGUCUUGCUAUGAAAAAUGUCAGCUUCACUAAAAAGUAUGCUUAGUGAUGCAGCAAAAACUAAUGUAAAUUGAAGAUUAUUAUAAAAGUGUAAAAUUAAAAUUAUAAAUUAAAAUUAUAAAAAAUGUAAUAAUAUGGAAGUUGAAUCAUAACACGUACCACAUGCUGAAUUAGGAUCUUUAUGGAGCAAGAAAGCUGUGUCAAGAAUGUCUGAACUGUAAGGCAAAUUCGUGUCAUAGGUUUCUACAAAAUAAGAAGCUAAUUUGGUUCUAAUUUUUUAAAGUGUACAUUAGAUAGUCUCGCUUAUUUGCUGCUAUCUUCAGUAUUUUAAUGGUUUUUAUACUUCCAUGCAAAGAAGUAUGGCAACAUGUUUUGCCAGUAAAUAUCUGAUUGAAAGGGAAAAAUAAAAGCUUGGAAGAAUAUACCUUUACAGAUUUUUGACAUGUUCCAUCACUUAAUAAUGACUGUCAGUGAAGUAGGUGAUGAACUUAAUAUUGCCAGUCGGCAAAGUUACAUCUUACAAGUUUGACAAAAUGCUUUAAAUUUUAUCUUUUCAUUACAAGAACAGGCAUAUGUAAGAAAAUCAUGGUUCUGCCUUUUAUUGAAAGGUGAUUUCAAUAAAAGGUAGUUGAAAUAUAACUAUGAAAUAAAUUGUGGAACUAGUUGAUGGACUGAAAAUGAGUUGUGAAAAUUUUCAUUUUGGAUCUAAGUUAAAAAUGAGUAUCUUGAACUUGCUGAAAUUAACCUCCUCUUACACUGCAAUCAACAUACCUCUAUGAGAUUAGUUUCUCUAAUGAGCUUUCAAAAAAAUUUUUUUUAAUGUUUAUUUUUGAGAGACAGACAGUGUGUGAGUAGGGGAGGGAUAGAGAGAGAGGGAAACACAGAAUCCGAAGCAGGCUCCAGGCUCUGAGCUGUCAGCACAGAGCCCGACACGAGGCUCGAACUCACAAACCAUGAUCAUUAUCAUGACCUGAGCCGAAGCCAGAUGCUUAACCAACUGAGCCACCCAGGUGCUCCAAACCCAAAUUAAUUUUAGAUAAAUUAACAAGAAGUAAACACAUCUGUGGAAUGAAAAAAAUGCUACAAGCAUAGUAGGGAUUCUUUGUCACAUCUGUAUCCAUACUUUCAAUGAAUGUGCACUGGUUUUAAAAUUCUUUUUUUCCUGUUUUAUUUAUUCUUAUGGUUAAUAAAAAUGCAGGUUCAUUCUGUGGUCUUUAAUUCAGAAAACUGGGUAUGUAUUAUGUCUGUUUUUUCAUUGCAUUUUUCUAGUAAAUCAUUUUUAUAGUAUUUUACGAAAAGAUCAGUCCACUACAGAUAGGAAAUUUUUAAAAAUUAAAACUGGUCUUUCAUUAUAGACAAUUUGAGAGACAAAUUGCUUAAUAUUACGUCUUCCCACAACUCUCCUCUAUGCCCUUUUUAAUCUAGGUCAAGUUUUCAUCUCUUUGUUUCUAGGCACCUCCCCUCAAUCUUUCCCCCCCCACCUCAAGGGAUAUUUACAUGUUGACAGGACUCUUUUAUAGGUAAAAAGGCUACUUAAGGCUGAGAAAUUAAGCUAUAAUAACGAAAAGCCUGUAGGUAGAGUCGAUUAUUGGAAUCAGCAAAUCUCACUGUUGGAGUUAGAGGAAAUAUAGCUCAGUAUCUUGCCUAAAUUUGGAGUUGGUUCUAUAAAAUACUGAUAACAACAACAAAACCCACAGGAUUUAGGUUUUAUAGUGCAGUGCUGAGAGAAUAGACUCUGGGGUCAGUCUGAAUACAUUGAGGCCUGGAUUCUGCUCCAACCGGCUGAAAAGCCUUGGGCAAAUUACUUAACUUCUCUGAUAGCAGCCAUAGUCUCUUCAUUUGUAAAACGAGGCUAAUAACAAUACCUACCAGAGACAGUUGAUGUAAGGAUGAAAUGAGACUGCACGUGGAAAACCCCUUCAUCUUCUCAGCUGGGAGUCAGUAAUUGUUAGCUCUUGUCACCCUUACUGUGCAAAGCAUUUUCACAGCGGCCAUCAAAGUCAACCUCCGCCACAGCUAUGAGGUAGCAGGGAAAAUAUCCUUAUCAACAUUUCAGAAGUGAGGAAAUGCAGCCUUGUAGAAAUAAAUGACCAACUCAAAACCAGAAGCAGAGACACUUCUCAUUUCCAAAACCAUGCUCUUUCCACCAUGGGGCUCAUCCUUCCCUGCCAGUGAUGGCCUAAUCCCAGGAAUGGGGUGUUCUGUCAGCUCAAUCCUUACCUCCCCAAUCACGUCUAAAUUGGUCUCCUCGCAGCUUCCAUCUGUUGGGUCUGGCCGUGCCCUCUGAAGCAAGAGAAUAAAAAACGUGUAGGACACCUCGAAUCCCAAAGAGAGCUUGUCUGCUCCCAACUCCACACUAAACGGCUGGAGCCUCCUGCCGGAGGGGCCACAGCCCAGGCUCCCCACCACCCUCAGCUGCCCCCAUCUGGAGACUGGACGUCCUUUUGCUGCCCACAACCUCUCCCCAAGUUCCCGAGUCUCUGAGAAACUCCCACUAAGAGAUCAGGGGGCCACAUAAGCGGGGCCCGUUCCAGCGCUGCCUGCACACACUCCUGUCCCCUCUUGAUCGCUUUAUCUCUCUAAGGCCACUCUGGGUAAAUAGAAUUAUUUUUACUCCGCUCUCCAAUCUACUGAAAGAGAGAUUAUGAAAGGAUGACAACUAGCUUCACCAGCAAUCCCGCUGAUGCCUCAGCAAUCACUUUCGACACCUCUUGGUGAAAAACCACUGUUCGAAGCUUCUCUCCCCCGCACCUCUCAGGACUCGCAGUGGUCUGGCCUCUCUCUUUAGGGAGUAACCACGUUGAAGCAGACCUUGAUUGUAGCUUGGGGUGGCUGCGGUUCCCUGCUUUCUACAGAAUCGGACACAAGCUUGAUAUGAAUGACCCUGACCCCAGGUGUGAGCCCCAAAUUUCACAACCCUCCCAACCGCCGCGCCAACGGCCACCAACCGCUGCAGAUCGACCCGCCCACUCCGCUCAGCUGUCACGCCCACAGCCAGGCUGGCCCCGCCCCCGCCGGCACUGUUUCCACCGCUCUCUGACCCCGCCCCUCUGGUGCAUAUAGGCCCCUCCCACUCCUUCACCCGCCAGGCCGACGGCCAGGCAGACUCCACCCUCGCCGGGCGCUAUGGUUCCCAAGCAGCGCUCCACGCCCAAGUCCCGCCCUAGCCCUCAGCUGGCGCUGCCUUUCUCCUCAUGGCCGGUGUUGGCCAGCCUGCCCGCCAUUAACAGCCAGAUGGGCCUGAGAGUCGACGCUUCCAGUGCCUGGGCGCGUCCUUGUCCUCGCCUCACCACGGUGGCCCAAACGGCGUGGCUCUGAAGGACUCUGCCCCGUGUUUUCCCGCUCUGUGUGCUUAAAGAGAGAACGAGUGUGCGGGCGGAGAGAACGGCGAAUCUGCAGAACCCCGCGGGGCCGCAUAUUCCUUCAAGAGUCCGAGGAAGCCGACCCGAGGGACGGGCGCAGGGCUGGCUGUGGCGUGGUCGCUGCCGUCGCGCCCUCGGCCGGAUCGUGUGACUCCUGAGACCCGGGACCCGGGAACCCAGUACUAACGUGGCAGGCCAGCUGAGGCACCAAACCCUGCUCCUGCCUGUGCUAUCAAGGUGUUCGGGGGAGUGUAAACCAUGGUUACUUGCCAGCCCUUCCGACCCAGAGAGAGUUCCAGCAGCUCUCCUGUUUGGUGGACUUACAAGUUGGUGUUGAGGAGACCAAGCCUGGCAGGAGGCUGGAGCAGGCACAGGCAAAGCGCACGUUAGAAUGGGAAGAACCCCUGUGGCCUAGUUAUAAGAAAGCAAAUGCCAUGACCUAAGGGUUGGCCCACUCAUGCCACAGAGGCAGCAGCUAGCCUUCAUCAAGAAGGGGUAAGGACAAACCACAGGAACCCCACUGGACCACAUUUUAAGCAUCUGGUUUGCACAAAGGCUGCAUUCCUGUCUCUGCCUUUUCACCACUGCCAUUUGGUUGCACGUUGAAUACUCCAUAAUAACAUACAAGAAGCUUCUGAAAAGACUCAUUGCUGAAGAAUACCUCCUGGAUUCAUUUAUCGCCCUUGCAACAUGUCCUGUCUGCGUCUACCCUCUUGGCACCUUCUGAGGACGUGGCUGUGAACGGCACGGAAGCAUUUCUGCCCUAUGGAAUUCUCAGCCUCAGGGCUUUCAGUAGAUUUGUCUCAUCCAUUUGGACAGUGAUAACGCUAAAAGGUCAAAGGAGAAAAGAAAAGCUUUUAAAUGUAAUGAAACAUAACUAUUUUAAUACAUAAUUUCACAAGUUCUUACUGAAUGACAGAAGUUCCCUGAAGACAAAUUUUAAUGACACUAAGUGAAUAAAAAGGGCCUUGUAUGUGAAUACCUCCCAGUCCUCAUCAGAGAGAUGGAAUGCUCUUGCCCGUCACCGUAUGUGCCCUUGGGAGCACGCAGGACAGCUCUUCUCAGGUUUGCUCCGUCCCCAGAGUUAACGUGCACUUCAAUGUGGCCUUCAAUCAGCAUGAUGGAAAAGAAGGGCUGGGAAGGUUGCUGAGAGAUUUUCAACAGAAAAAAUAUUGCCACGUGAUCUUUAAAAUUAUUAUGAAGACAAUAUGAGAGUAUUAACAAGCAACUUAUUAAGAAUAUCACCAUCUAACACAACUCUUUUAAAUUCUGUAUAUGAGUUUCUAGUCUCUGUUCAUAUGAUUUACAUUCUGCUUUAUGCUCUUAUCAUUAACCCUAUCAAAGAUUUCCCUUUCUACUUCAUACUUUUUAUUGCCACCAUAUGUACUAACAGAUACAUAUACUGUAAAUCAUUGACCGAUUUAUUGUUAAAAAUUUAGUUUCCAAUUUUUCUUACCAUACAUAGUACUUUUGUUUUUUGCCUGUGAACACUUUUUUCUUUUUUUUUUUGGCCUAACGUUUCUAAAAGUGGGUUUAAAAGGUGGAAGAGUUUGGAAAUUAUUAAAGCUUUGAGAAUUAUUUUGCACAUUGAAAAUCGGUCCACCAGCAGAACGGGAGUGUGAGUGUUUCACAAUGCCCUUGUGAGCAUUCUGUUUUGCUGAACAAGCAGCAAACUAUGAUUUGUAAAUGGUCCUAUUAAGAUUGGUGGAGGCAGGGCACCUGGGUGGCUCAGUCGGUUAAGCGUCCAACUUCCACUGAGGUCAUGAUCUUACAGUUUGUGGGUUCUAGCCCCACAUCGGGCUUUAUGACGACAGCUCAGAGCCUGGAGCCUGCUUCAGAUUCUGUCUCUCUCUCUUUCUGCCCCUCCCCCACUCGUGCUGUCUCUCAAAAAUAAAGUAACAUUAAAAAAAAAUUUUAAGACUGGUGGAGGCAAACAGUCUAUUGGUUCCUCAAAAAGUUAAACAUAGAAUUAAUCAUGUGACCUAUCAGUUCCACUCCUAGGUAUAUACCCAAAAGAACUGAAAGCAGGUAGUCAGACAAAUACUUUGAUGUGGAUGUUCAUAGCAGCAUUAACAAUAGCUAAAAGGUAGAAACAACCCCAAAUGUCCAUCAGUGAAUAAGUUAUGUACAUAUAAUGGAAUAGCAAUUCAGCCAUAAAAAGGAAGUACUGACACAUCCCACGAUGUGGACAAACCUCAAAAACAUGCUAAAUGGAAGACACAAAAGAUCACAUGCUGUAUGAGCCCAUUUAUAUAAAAUACAGAUCAUCAGGAAAUUCAGAGAUACAGAAGGAAGGCCGCUGGCCACCAGGGACUGGGCUGCUGAGGGGACAGGAAGGGCCCGCUUGACCGCACAGGCUAUUAUUUGGGUGAUAAAAAUGUUUUGGAACUAGAUAGAGGAGGUGGCCUCACCACAUUGUGAAAGCACUAAAUGCUAACUGUUCACUGUAAAAUGGUCACUUUUAUGUUCUGUGAAUUUCAUCUCAACUAGGAAAAAAAGAAAAAGAUUGGUGGGGCCCAUAAACCACUCUGUCAUGGUUAGACCUUCGCCAAGUGGCUCAUGAGGCACUAGGAGUCUACACACUGGUGUUCCAGUCCUGGCUCAGACAUAUAUCAGCUGUGUGACCUUCAGCAGGUUAACAAGGUUCUCUGAACCUAUUUCCUCCUCAACGAAACGCAGGAUAAGCGGCAUUCACCCUGCAGUGUGGCUGUGAUCAUCACACAGCAAUGUCUACAAAUAAUCUUGCACAAAAGAGGAGACAGUAUGCCGUGACCUCUACUUCAUUAAGACCGUAAAUUAGCAUUCUGUGAAGCCUCUUCAAAUUACGUGAUAUAUGCAAGUUUGAGCAAAAGAAAGGGUAAAUCUAUGCUCUUAAAAUGGAAUAUAAAUAUGGAAACCCAUCAACUUUUCUCUCUUCUACAGCUGCCCCACUGUGCUGAUCACAGGCCACAUUUCUCUUUCUGCUGACUUCAAUCCUAUUUGUAGAUAAGGAAAAUUGUGCUCCAUGGAGCAGCACACUAACAAACUCUACAGAACUGAAGGAUUCACUUUCUUAGCCUUAGAAUAAAGAGUAGCCACCUAACAUGUGGAAAAAAGCUCUGAAUGAGCUUGAAAAGAAUGAGGGGUAGACAGCAAGUAUCUGCCUUCUCAGUAGUUAGACAAGAAAAAUGACUGUGUACCACAAAGAGGUCACUGAUUCAUAGACAUUCAGCGAUAGUAACUGCUACUUAUUAAAAUGCACACUUAUAAACAACUGGCCACACUGCUACGAUAAUGUUCACGACCAAGUCAUUUUCCCACUAGUGCUUCUUGAGCUUGUGUCUGAAUAACAAUAGCAUUUGAGCUACUCACCCCGUGGGCCUGCCGAUGACCCUGCUUCUCCCCAUGCCUGCCCAGGGCAGCCAGGAUGAUGCCACUGCUGUUCUUGGUGGCAAAUGUUGCCAACAGUUCCGAUUCUGGCAACAAAGACCUGGGUGACAAUUCAACGUAGCCACCUUUCAAGAAGCUAACAGUUCGGAUAGGCUGGUUGAAAAGGAGGCAAAAAGAACACCAUCAGGACUCCUAAGCACUGAAUCGCCCAUGGUGGGGUUUACUGCUGGUCUCCCCAUCAUCUCUUUUCCAUCCAUCUCACUGUGUUAGAUUUUACUACCUUAUUAUGUUGAUAAGUCAGUGGACAUUUGCAAAAACUCAUUCAAAUAUUAAUAAAAGGCUUCCCACCUCCAGUAUACAGCCUUUUCUCACUCCAUAGGAAUUUCUGAGUAAAUCAAAGGUUGAUCUGGAUAUUUCCAGGUUUUUGAUACAGCCCACAUAGCUUUUGCUGGUGACACCUUUCCUGUAGGGAAGGGCACAAGAACAACAAGAUUUGGAUUUUAUAACUCCAUUUUUGAAAGAAGGAAUAAAAAUAGACCUACAGGUAAAGAAGAUCUGCUUCUAUGUGUCAUUCUGCAGAAAUGUCUAAGUCUCCCACUAAGAAGGAUAUUGAUGGUGAAGACUUUAGGUCUAAUGAAGGCUCUCCUUAGGACCAAGGAAAGGGGUUGAAUUUAGAGAGUUUGACUAAAUGGCUACCUAGACAAAAAUGCAUCAUAUUUUAAGGGAAAGUACUGUAGUCACUGCAAUUUAAAUAUACUCAUUAAAACAGGCCAAUUAUAAGAAAGACAGUACACAGUCAUAAGGAAACAAUAGCACAUAGAUUGAAAUCCAAAUCAGUACUAUAUUUUUCUCUUUGUUGUUAUUUAUUUUUAGAGAGUGUGUGUGUGCACAUGCGAGCAGCAGAGAGGGAGCAGGAGAAUCCCAAGUAGGCUCCUCACUGUCAUCAGAGAGCCUGAUGUGAGGCUUGAUUUCACAAACUCUGAGAUCAUGACCUGAGUCAAAAUCAAGAGUUGGGUGCUGAACCAACUGAGCCACCCAGGUGCCCCACUACCAUAUUUUUCUUAAUAGAAGUUGCCACACUGCUGGUUGGGGUGAGGUUGUAAUAUGAUCAGUCUCUCAUUUCCAAAAUAUGGAGAUGACUGAACAUCUCUAAGUUAUAUUCUGAAGCAUCAGCUAGUCACAGGAGAACUCUGAAGUCACAUGGUUUCCAGCUAGAGUCGCAUUUCACUUUCCUUUCCCUCUGUGUUGAGUAGUGAGCUGCAGACCAUUAGGCAACUACAAGAUUUAGGGCAGAUUUUAAUUUUUCUGGAUAUGUUUCUUCCUUUGUAAUUGAAGAGGCUGGUCUUGAUAGAUACCCAGGUCCCUUCUAGCAUAAAACUCUGUUAUUUGGAAUGUCUUCCUGGAAAGGGGGAUCUUUUCUCCAUUGUCUGCACAGUGUCCAUCUCGGUAGAGGACAGAUGAACUGUGGCACAGCUUGUUGCUACAGGAGCACCCACCCUGCUGCCACCAUGUGAGGAAACGAUAUCUGGAAUCGGGAAUUAGGAAACUGGCUUCCAAUCCUGGCUGCAUCCUGGCAGAGGGGUAAGACCUGGGACAAAUGACCAACUCCCCCUGAAGUUUAAGUGUAAUUCAUUUCAAGAUAGGGUGUGGGGGGAGGGUACUGGUGACUGUGGUGGUAAGCUGUGUCCCUUGGAACUUUCAGAAAUUUCUGGCAAAGAAGAGGGGUGAGGAGUGAAUCUGGACUGCUCAGCUUAACAGCAACCAGUGUGGACGCACUUCCGUGCCACUGAUUAGGAGUGCAUAUAAGAACUCAGCUGUAGUUAGUGCGGUAGUAGUAGGGUAGUAGCUGUGCUACUAACUUCUUUGAAGACCACCGGGCUAGGUGAAUCAGUUUGGACAUUUGGUAAUCCCACUCCCCAGAAUCUAUCUUGCCUCGACUGCUGGCCUUUGGUAUAGGAGAUUUUUGUUUUUAAUGGUGUGAAAGAAACUUCGGGCUUCAUUUGUCCAGUCCAAAAUGACACAACUAAGAACAAAGACCCACAGAGAUCUUAUGCAAAUUAUUAAAGUCACAAAGCUAAACAUGAA